GCCUGGCUGGCUCAGUUGGUAGAGCAUGAGAUUCUUGAUCUUAGAAUUUUAAGUUCGAGCCCCAUGUUGGGUA
Molecule: transfer RNA, 73 nt
Filed under: Canis lupus familiaris (dog)
Lineage: Eukaryota; Metazoa; Chordata; Mammalia; Carnivora; Canidae
Also listed under: 3 other names
Rfam family: tRNA
About the family: Transfer RNA (tRNA) molecules are approximately 80 nucleotides in length. Their secondary structure includes four short double-helical elements and three loops (D, anti-codon, and T loops). Further hydrogen bonds mediate the characteristic L-shaped molecular structure. tRNAs have two regions of fundamental functional importance: the anti-codon, which is responsible for specific mRNA codon recognition, and the 3' end, to which the tRNAs corresponding amino acid is attached (by aminoacyl-tRNA synthetases). tRNAs cope with the degeneracy of the genetic code in two manners: having more than one tRNA (with a specific anti-codon) for a particular amino acid; and 'wobble' base-pairing, i.e. permitting non-standard base-pairing at the 3rd anti-codon position.
Source: Rfam by way of RNAcentral